Ornithorhynchus anatinus (platypus) is the source of this 133-nucleotide non-coding RNA. Lineage: Eukaryota; Metazoa; Chordata; Mammalia; Monotremata; Ornithorhynchidae. The record is from Rfam.
UCCCUCUCAGGGUCACACCUGGAGAGUUUCCAGUACUCUACCAGUUUUUACUAUGGGAGGGAGAGUCAAGCAGAGGCCUACCCAUUCCUAGCUAAGGCAGUGGCUAGCGAAUGGAAGACAAUCUGCUACAAGU